RNAcentral lists this ribosomal RNA (561 nucleotides) under uncultured phototrophic eukaryote. RNAcentral describes it as "bacterial SSU rRNA". It matches the Rfam family "Bacterial small subunit ribosomal RNA", at positions 338 to 916 of the family's 1533-position model. The record is from RNAcentral.
CCUACGGGAGGCAGCAGUGAGGAAUUUUCUGCAAUGGGCGAAAGCCUGACAGAGCAACACCGCGUGAGGGAAUGAAGGCCUUCGGGUUGUAAACCUCUUUUCUCAAGAAAGAAAAAAUGACGGUACUUGAGGAAUAAGUAUCGGCAAACCCUGUGCCAGCAGCCGCGGUAAUACAGGGGAUACAAGUGUUAUCCGGAAUUAUUGGGCGUAAAGCGUAUACAGGUGGAAAAAUAAGUUUUUUGUGAAAUCUCAAAGCUUAACUUUGAAAGUGCAAAAAAUACUAUUUUUCUAGAGUUUGAUAGGAGUUAAGGGAAUUUCCAGUGAAGCGGUGAAAUGCGUAGAUAUUGGAAGGAACACCAAAAGCGAAGGCACUUAACUAUGGCAAAACUGACACUCAAAUACGAAAGCUGGGGGAGCAAACAAGAUUAGAUACCUUGGUAGUCCCAGCUGUAAACCUUGGAUACUAGAUAUUGGAUAAUAUUAUUCAGUGUCGUAGCUAACGCGUUAAGUAUCCCGCCUGGGAAGUAUGCUCGCAAGAGUGAAACUCAAAUGAAUUGACGG